UUCUUACAUGGUGAAGCAUUUUUAUUAAUCAUCUGUGUUUGAAGUUGUGCUGCAGAGAAUUAUAUCUCCAAUAAGCUUCUUAUGUAACUUUUGUUUGUGUAGAUUCAAGCUGCAUUUCAAACGGACGAAAUCAGGAGAACUCCUCCAACACCACAAGAUGAGAUGAGAGCAGGAAUGAGCUACUUCCACGAUAAAUGAAGAACAUAGGGAUAAAUGAGCGGGUAAUCAGAGAGUGACUCCUGAAGUGACAAGGAAUGUUUGUUUACUAGCUAGAAUGAUGGCUGCUAAUUUGUAUUAUUCCCAAAUAUUGGAUGGGAAUGCCAAAAUUUCUACGUCGGCUCAAUACAGCUUUGAAGAACAUAGGGAUAAAUGAGCGUGUACCUUACAAUGCUCCUCUUAUUCAAUUCUCAUCUUGGAUGUGUGGUGAUCGGGAUGGUAAUCAGAAAGUGACUCCUGAAGUGACAAAGGAUGUUUGCUUACUAGCUAGAAAAUAAUGAUGGCUGCUAAUUUGUAUUAUUUCCAAAUAGAAAAUCUUAUGUUUAAAGUAAUUUAUUUUUAGAGAAAUAAUUUGUAUUAUUCUCAAAUAGAAGAUCUUAUGCCUGCUAAUUUAUUAUGGCAGCCUAAAUU
Molecule: non-coding RNA, 627 nt
Organism: Arachis ipaensis
Lineage: Eukaryota; Viridiplantae; Streptophyta; Magnoliopsida; Fabales; Fabaceae
Source: RefSeq, a predicted model, not a curated record